Molecule: ribosomal RNA, 253 nt
Filed under: uncultured bacterium
Lineage: Bacteria
Description: partial 16S ribosomal RNA
Rfam family: Bacterial small subunit ribosomal RNA
Source: RNAcentral
UACGUAGGGGGCAAGCGUUGUCCGGAAUCAUUGGGCGUAAAGCGCGUGUAGGCGGUUCGAUAAGUCUGCUGUGAAAGCCCAGGGCUCAACCCUGGGAUGCCGGUGGAUACUGUCGGACUAGAGUGCGGAAGAGGCGAGUGGAAUUCCCGGUGUAGCGGUGAAAUGCGCAGAUAUCGGGAGGAACACCAAUUGCGAAGGCAGCUCGCUGGGACGUUACUGACGCUGAGACGCGAAAGCGUGGGGAGCAAACAGG